Grus americana (Whooping crane) is the source of this 1305-nucleotide long non-coding RNA. RefSeq lists it as uncharacterized. The record is from RefSeq and is a predicted model, not a curated record. The transcript is spliced from 3 exons. NCBI's taxonomy places the organism in Eukaryota, Metazoa, Chordata, Aves, Gruiformes, Gruidae.
AUUCCCCUCACUGUCAUCAAUACCUGCUUUGCUGAAGCAGAAUGUCAAGAAGGAAAUUGGGACUCGACAUUUGAAGUCUUAAAAUUUACUGAAUUUUCUCCCCAGCUUUAUUUUCAGCGCAGAGUUCUGCAGUACUGACUUUGAAAUGCAUGCUUUCGGCUCCUGUAUCUUGUUUCUGGGAAGAGCCUAUCAACAGAGUGGAUUUCAACAAAGUCUGCCUUGACCAUGAAAGUAUUACACUACUCAGCACACCAAAGGCAGUGGUAAUUCUGUGAGCUUCCCUCCCACCCUGGAGUUUAUGUGAGGUAGGCUAGGCUAAUGGUUUAUAGCAAAUUGUAGUAAGUUUUUACACUAAAGGAAAAACACAGCAGGUAGUAUGUGUGUAAAGAAUAUUGGUUUUUCUACUGUCGUUGGAGAUAGUGUAACUGCUGGAUGGUGGCAAAUCAGUAUCAGAGUCAGAGCUUUUAUCUUUAUAUGCUGAUGGUAUUGUAGACCAGUUUACAAUGCCAAUGAUUGGGCUUUUGUCUAUUUAAAACAUGGCUGAAGACUAAUGAGCAACCAACUCCAGUGACCUUUUAAAACUGCAGGUAUCUUCAGCCUGCUGAAAAAUAAGUCCACAGUUUAAAAAUCCAGAGCUAUUGUCUUCACACGGAACAAAAAAAAGCAUAGGAGUAUAAAAAGUUCAACCCCAUAUUCCUCAUCUUAUUCUGUGGGAGUUAUUCUUGAACAUGCAAGACUCCACACAUUAUUCCUAAGAGUGCUUACAUCUGACAACCUCUUUUGUAAUAUGUCUGGUGUUAUCGUUCUUUUCUUUUUAAUAAUGACCUGCUAUUAUUCAGAAAUAGGUGGGCUACAGUGGUCCAGGCUAUUUUAGAUCAACAAAGACUGUGCUUUCUAAAGCCAAACUGUGUGAGUACUCUUUAAAACCCUCUUUCUUUUAAAAAAAUCUGAUGUUCUCAAAAACUUGAGGUUGUACAUUUGCUAUAACAAGCUAUAUGCUGCUGCUGUGUUGGGGGUUUUUGAAAUAAAAUGUUUUCCAAAUAAAUAGCAAAAUUCCCCAUAGAUACUAGGGUCUCAGAAGUAGCGCUAAACAUCUGGCUUGUCUCUGUAGACUGCACCAUGUGGUAGCCGAAAUAUCUGGUUCAGUGCUGUGCCUGUCUCCCAAAUAUAUUCAAAACAUCAACUUUUCUUGGAGAACAUUUGGUAGAAGCUUCCUUCAUUGCUUUAAGCCAGUUCCCAUGUGGAUAUUACUUCUUCAGAUCGAUGUGAAAUUAUUCAGAUUAGAAAAAAGUGAAGUUGUCAACA